CAUGAGAGCUUGCUCUUGAUGACGAGUGGCGAACGGGUGCGUAACACGUAUACAAUCUACCUUUAACUGAGGGAUAGCCCAGAGAAAUUUGGAUUAAUACCUCAUAGUAUUAUUUUAAGGCAUCUUAAUAUAAUUAAAACUCCGGUGGUUAAAGAUGAGUAUGCGUUCUAUUAGUUUGUUGGUGAGGUAACGGCUCACCAAGACCACGAUAGAUAGGGGGCCUGAGAGGGGAUCCCCCACACUGGUACUGAGACACGGACCAGACUCCUACGGGAGGCAGCAGUGAGGAAUAUUGCGCAAUGGAGGAAACUCUGACGCAGCCAUACCGCGUGUAGGAAGAAUGUCCUAUGGAUUGUAAACUACUUUUAUACAAGAAGAAGCCCCAGUACGUGUACUGGGCUGACGGUAUUGUACGAAUAAGCACCGGCUAACUCCGUGCCAGCAGCCGCGGUAAUACGGAGGGUGCAAGCGUUAUCCGGAUUUAUUGGGUUUAAAGGGUCCGCAGGCGGGAUUCUAAGUCAGUGGUGAAAGCCUACAGCUCAACUGUAGAACUGCCAUUGAUACUGGAAUCCUUGAGUGUGGUUGAAGUAGACGGAAUAUGUCAUGUAGCGGUGAAAUGCAUAGAUAUGACAUAGAACACCAAUUGCGUAGGCAGUUUACUAAACCAUUACUGACGCUCAUGGACGAAAGUGUGGGUAGC
This 700-nucleotide ribosomal RNA is filed under the name uncultured bacterium. Its description in RNAcentral is "bacterial SSU rRNA". It matches the Rfam family "Bacterial small subunit ribosomal RNA", at positions 71 to 769 of the family's 1533-position model. The record is from RNAcentral.